CAGUUGGUGAAAGUCCAACUCAACCAAUAACCAUUCAGUUGAAAGAGAAUGAGGAUAUUACGACUAGUGAUGGACGUAGUAUGAGCCCUCAAACUCAAAUAAGUGAGCCGUAACGCAA
Non-coding RNA from Gracilibacter sp. BRH_c7a, 118 nucleotides. The record is from Rfam. Lineage: Bacteria; Bacillati; Bacillota; Clostridia; Eubacteriales; Gracilibacteraceae.